RNAcentral lists this small RNA (2195 nucleotides) under Pongo abelii (Sumatran orangutan). RNAcentral describes it as "processed transcript". The record is from RNAcentral. Lineage: Eukaryota; Metazoa; Chordata; Mammalia; Primates; Hominidae.
GCGGUGCCCGGGGCAUCUCCGCGGCGGAACUCAGGGAAGGAGCUAGCUGGGGCGGGGGUGAUGAUCCAGGCUGGGUUCCAGCGUAGGGGUCUUGAUGGGCACGCUGGGGUCGGGUGGAGUGCUGGAGGGAGAGGAGGUGGGACAGGUGGGUACCUGGGCUGGAGGCAGGGCCUGAGGUGGCCAGGUGCAGGGGGCUGCACCUCUCGGCUGAAGCCGGGAAUGAGGACCCCGCUGUCGGGUGGGAUUGGAGGGGACUCGCGGCUGAGGCUCUGGGCUUCGACAGGGACAUCCCCUUUCUCCUCCCCAGGGAGAUGGUGCUUGUCGUGCACGGCUUCCCGUCCUCUGUGGCCGCCCUUCGGUUUGAGUGGGCUUGGCAGCACCCGCACGCCUCGCGCCGCCUGGCGCACGUGGGGCCUCGCCUGCGAGGAGAGACCGCCUUCGCGUUCCACCUGCGCGUGCUGGCGCACAUGCUGCGCUCACCGCCCUGGGCGCGCCUCCCGCUCACGCUGCGCUGGGUGCGCCCAGACCUCCGCCAGGACCUCUGCCUCCCGCCGCCGCCGCACGUGCCCCUGGCCUUCGGGCCUCCACCGCCCCAGGCUCCGGCCCCAAGGCGCCACGCAGGUCCCUUUGAUGACGCGGAGCCUGAGCCAGACCAGGGGGAUCCAGGGGCCUGCUGCUCCCUGUGCGCCCAGACCAUCCAGAAUGAAGAGGGGCCCUUGUGUUGUCCCCACCCUGGCUGCCUGCUAAGGGCCCACGUGAUCUGCCUGGCAGAGGAGUUUCUUCAGGAAGAACCAGGGCAGCUUCUGCCCCUAGAGGGCCAAUGCCCUUGCUGUGAGAAGUCACUGCUUUGGGGAGACCUGAUCUGGCUGUGCCAGAUGGACACUGAGAAAGAAGUAGAAGACUCAGAAUUCGAAGAGAAACAUGGAGCUGAUCCAGGACACCUCCCGCCCACCACUGGAGUAUGUGAAGGGGGUCCCGCUCAUCAAGUACUUUGCAGAGGCACUGGGGCCCCUGCAGAGCUUCCAAGCCCAGCCUGAUGACCUGCUCAUCAACACCUACCCCAAGUCCGGCACCACCUGGGUGAGCCAGAUACUGGACAUGAUCUACCAGGGCGGCGACCUAGAGAAGUGUAACCGGGCUCCCAUCUACAUACGGGUGCCCUUCCUUGAGGUCAAUGAUCCAGGGGAUCCCUCAGGGCUGGAGACUCUGAAAGACACACCUCCCCCACGGCUCAUCAAGUCACACCUGCCCCUGGCCCUGCUCCCCCAGACUCUGUUGGAUCAGAAGGUCAAGGUGGUCUAUGUUGCCCGAAACCCAAAGGACGUGGCGGUUUCCUACUACCAUUUCCACCGUAUGGAAAAGACGCACCCUGAGCCUGGGACCUGGGACAGCUUCCUGGAGAAGUUCAUGGCCGGAGAAGUGUCCUACGGGUCCUGGUACCAGCACGUGCAGGAGUGGUGGGAGCUGAGCCGCACCCACCCUGUUCUCUACCUCUUCUAUGAAGACAUGAAGGAGAACCCCAAAAGGGAGAUUCAAAAGAUCCUGGAGUUUUUGGGGCACUCUCUGCCAGAGGAGACCGUGGACUUCAUGGUUCAGCACACGUCGUUCAAGGAGAUGAAGAAGAACCCUAUGACCAACUACACCACCGUCCCCCGGGAGUUCAUGGACCACAGCAUCUCCCCCUUCAUGAGGAAAGGCAUGGCUGGGGACUGGAAGACCACCUUCACCGUGGCGCAGAAUGAGCGCUUCGAUGCGGACUAUGCGGAGAAGAUGGCAGGCUGCAGCCUCAGCUUCCGCUCUGAGCUGUGAGAGGGGCUCCCGGGGUCACUCCAGAGGGAGUGUGCGAAUCAAGCCUGACCAAUGGGCUCAAGAAUAAAGUAUGAUUUUUGAGUCAGGCACAGUGGCUCAUGUCUGCAAUACCAGCGAUUUGGGAGGUUGAGCUGGUAGGAUCACAAUAGGCCACGAAUUUGAGACCAGCCUGGUAAAGUAGUGAGACCUCAUCUCUACAAAGAUGUAAAAAAAUUAGCCACAUGUGCUGGCACUUACCUGUAGUCCCAGCUACUUGGGAAGCAGAGGCUGGAGGAUCAUUUCAGCCCAGGAGGUUGUGGAUACAGUGAGUUAUGACAUGCCCAUUCACUACAGCCUGGAUGACAAGCAAGACCCUCCCUCCAAAGAAAAUAAAGCUCAAUUAAAAU